This 399-nucleotide ribosomal RNA is filed under the name Triticum aestivum (bread wheat). RNAcentral describes it as "partial small subunit ribosomal RNA". The record is from RNAcentral. Lineage: Eukaryota; Viridiplantae; Streptophyta; Magnoliopsida; Poales; Poaceae.
AUGCUACGGCCAGCGGCUGCCGCCGUUUAUCCGUCAUCCUACCACGCCCCACCGCCGCGAUUCCCAGCAUUUCCGUCCGGACGACGCUCGGCCGCCAUAGCCGUCCGGUGCGUGAACCGCGACGCGCCCGAUACCUCGAAGGCGAAGCUGAAGGUCGGCUCGCCGAUCGUCAUCACCGAGGAACCGCCCAUGCUCAAGACCGCCGCGUCGGUGCCGUCGCUCCGGCAGAACGCCGGCCGCGUCAAGCCCGGCGACGUCGGGAGGAUAAUGGCGCGGAAGCCGAAGGACGUCUGGGCCGUGCGGCUCGCCGUCGGCACGUACCUGCUGGACGGGAAGCACUUCAAGCCCCUGGAGGUCGUCGAGGACGAAGGCGGCGACGAUCAACCCCAGGAUGAAUGA